Molecule: ribosomal RNA, 468 nt
Filed under: uncultured bacterium
Lineage: Bacteria
Description: partial 16S ribosomal RNA
Rfam family: Bacterial small subunit ribosomal RNA
Source: RNAcentral
GACGAACGCUGGCGGCGUGCUUAACACAUGCCAGUCGAACGGAAAGGCCCUGCUUUUGUGGGGUGCUCGAGUGGCGAACGGGUGAGUAACACGUGAGUAACCUGCCCUUGACUUUGGGAUAACUUCAGGAAACUGGGGCUAAUACCGGAUAGGAGCUCCUGCUGCAUGGUGGGGGUUGGAAAGUUUCGGCGGUUGGGGAUGGACUCGCGGCUUAUCAGCUUGUUGGUGGGGUAGUGGCUUACCGAGGCUUUGACGGGUAGCCGGCCUGAGAGGGUGACCGGCCACAUUGGGACUGAGAUACGGCCCAGACUCCUACGGGAGGUAGCAGUGGGGAAUAUUGCACAAUGGGCGGAAGCCUGAUGCAGCAACGCCGCGUGCGGGAUGACGGCCUUCGGGUUGUAAACCGCUUUCGCCUGUGACGAAGCGUGAGUGACGGUAAUGGGUAAAGAAGCACCGGCUAACUACGUG